CGGCCGCUCGACGACGGCCCCGACCCACCGCUCGGGGCGCUGGAUCGACCGCUGGGACCCGGAGGACCCGACGUUCUGGCGCGACGGCGGCCGC
This 94-nucleotide transfer RNA is filed under the name Cellulosimicrobium cellulans. RNAcentral's name for it is "tRNA-Pro". The record is from RNAcentral. Lineage: Bacteria; Bacillati; Actinomycetota; Actinomycetes; Micrococcales; Promicromonosporaceae.